GAACAACCCCUGGCUCUAUGUUAUGGCGAUGAUCCAAACGUUGAAGGAGGAUCAGAUGAUGAGUUAGCAUCUCAAUCAUCCAAAACUAAAACAAAAUCCACGAGCAAGAAACCGGAAGCUGCUGAAGAAGAAGCAACACGAUUGAGACAGAAAUUUGAAAAGUUACCUCCCAAAAUUUUGUCGAUCCACCGGAUAAGAUGGAAUAUGAACAAAGGCAGUGAGAGAUGG
This 228-nucleotide unclassified non-coding RNA is filed under the name Hevea brasiliensis (rubber tree). Lineage: Eukaryota; Viridiplantae; Streptophyta; Magnoliopsida; Malpighiales; Euphorbiaceae. The record is from RNAcentral.